GGCCUCGUAACUCAGGUGGUUAGAGUGGUGACUGUUGCGAGGACUUCCCCAUUGUUUAUGUGGGUUCGAAUCCCACCGAGGUCA
This 84-nucleotide transfer RNA is filed under the name Schistocephalus solidus. It matches the Rfam family "tRNA". Rfam says of the family: Transfer RNA (tRNA) molecules are approximately 80 nucleotides in length. Their secondary structure includes four short double-helical elements and three loops (D, anti-codon, and T loops). Further hydrogen bonds mediate the characteristic L-shaped molecular structure. tRNAs have two regions of fundamental functional importance: the anti-codon, which is responsible for specific mRNA codon recognition, and the 3' end, to which the tRNAs corresponding amino acid is attached (by aminoacyl-tRNA synthetases). tRNAs cope with the degeneracy of the genetic code in two manners: having more than one tRNA (with a specific anti-codon) for a particular amino acid; and 'wobble' base-pairing, i.e. permitting non-standard base-pairing at the 3rd anti-codon position. Lineage: Eukaryota; Metazoa; Platyhelminthes; Cestoda; Diphyllobothriidea; Diphyllobothriidae. The record is from Rfam by way of RNAcentral.